RNAcentral lists this ribosomal RNA (441 nucleotides) under uncultured bacterium. Its description in RNAcentral is "partial 16S ribosomal RNA". It matches the Rfam family "Bacterial small subunit ribosomal RNA", at positions 338 to 795 of the family's 1533-position model. The record is from RNAcentral.
CCUACGGGUGGCAGCAGUGGGGAAUAUUGCGCAAUGGGGGCAACCCUGACGCAGCAACGCCGCGUGAUCGAAGAAGGCAUUCGGGUUGUAAAGAUCUUUAAUCGGGGACGCAUUUUGACGGUACCCGAAGAUUAAGCUCCGGCUUACUACGGGCCAGCACCCGCGGUAAUACGUAGGGAGCAAGAGUUAUCCGGAUUUACUGGGUGUAAAAGGGGUGGAGGCGGGCAUGGAAGCCAUAAGUGAAAUCUGGGGGGCUAACCCCAAACCAGCGUAUGGAACUGCGUAUCUUGAGUGUUGGAGAGGCAGGCGGAAUUACCAGUGUAGCGGUGAAAUGCGUAGAUAUUGGGAGGAACACCAGUGGCGAAGGCGGCUUGCUGGACAUUAACUGACGCUGAGGCGCGAAAGCGUGGGGAGCAAACAGGAUUAGAUACCCGAGUAGUC